RNAcentral lists this long non-coding RNA (1481 nucleotides) under Oryctolagus cuniculus (rabbit). RNAcentral's name for it is "lncRNA (ENSOCUG00000032602.1)". Lineage: Eukaryota; Metazoa; Chordata; Mammalia; Lagomorpha; Leporidae. The record is from RNAcentral.
AUUCCUCAAGAGCUCCUAGCACCAUCUGUGUUCUUAAAGGCACGCCUUGAUGGUAGCUCUGAGAAGACUCAUCUCCAGGUAGGUUGACUCUUAGUCCAGAAACUUCUGAUGGUUUUGGUAUUUAGAAUGUGUUUCCUUUGCCCAUUAGGUCUAAUCAAUGAAGUUUGUAGCAUACCUUCUACACAGAUUUUUAGAGUGAAGAAUGUUUUAUUCAUGAAAAAAUUUAUUUUAUUCAUGAAAAAUGAGGUGCUGAGUUUGUAUGUGUAUGUGUGUAUUGCAUGCAUGCACCUUUCUUCUCCUAUUGAAACUUCCCAUUGAGAGGUCCUACGUGUCUUUUUGGCCGAUCUUAUAUCCCAGAGGAUAUAGGGAUGGGAUAAGAGGUUUAGUUCAUGAUGGUAAGUGGAGCAUGACCAUUGGAUGUAAGUUCAAUCAUCAUUACUAUUACCUCUCCUGUACUUUAAUUUGGUAGCAGAAAUGGAAUUUUAGGAGGAUAAACUUGAACUCAGCCUGAAUUCCUGAUCUGUUAAUGAAUCAGUUUAGUAAGUUCCUUUCUUCAAGUGGAGUUCCAGCAUUUUUUUUUUUUUUGAGCUUUUUAUUCUGCAGAGAUAUUUAGAGCUUGUAAACAUGAACUCAAGAAAAUUUGAACUGCAACAGUUGAUCUUGUAACCUCGGGAAGUUUCUACUAUAUUAAAUUGCAUCCUGAUUAUUUGGAAAGCACAAUGCUUUUGAUCAGCUAUUGAGGUCAUGCUUGUGGGGUCAAGUAUCUCAUUACACUUGUAUUUUCUUCCAAAUGGAUUUGUACCUUUAUUUUAUUCUGCUGCUUGUUUUCCUGGCCUAUUAUCACAGCCUAUUAUUGCAGUCUUAAAAAUAACUCCUAUUCCUACUCCAGAAGUUAAAAGAAGCAUUUCUAAAAAAAAAAAAAAAAAAGGGAAAAAAGUACCCUGGGGCAUUAAUCAAGUUCUUCAAGAUACUACCCCUUGCUUGGCUAAAAGAUACAUCUCCAGUUAUUUACAUGUGAAUCUAUAUUCAUGUCUGCUAACAUUGCUCAUGUACAUGCACGUACACAUUUGGCAUAAUAAUGCAGCAAGCGUUUAUAAGGAUACUCAAAAUGUCAAUGUCAGGAUAAUUGCAAAACAUGGAGCUUCAUUUUACGUGCACAGCUCUUUGUUUCAACAGUAAAUCAUGAUGUCUGAUUCCCCCACCUCAUAUACAAUUGCACUCAGGUUGUGCAGUGGCCGCUUUCUCAUUGGCUAAAAUUCAUUUCCUGUUGAGUUACAGUUAGAAAGUUCUUUUCUUUCUUUUCUUUUUAACCACCAAUAUCUCAGGGAGCUGCAGCCAGUCCUGUACUCUGAAUCUUCAGUAACAGCUCAGUGUUGAAUUUUCAAAAAUUGACAGGCAAUUUCUCCUUUUGCAAUAGUCUGGGCUUUUCAGGGCUGCAGUAGCAAAGGCUAAAUGUGAAAAGGAAAUGGGGGUGAGCAAAA